GAUAGCGAUAUGUCAUUUGUGAGCUCCAACAGCAGGCCAAGCGGUGAUCAGAUGUCGUCUUUUCUCAAUGAUAUGGUGGAAUUUGGAAAAACUCCACGCCUAUCAUCAAGCUCAGAUGGUAGCUUUGGCUCUGGGCACAAUUCCUUCUCUGAUUUAU
Molecule: long non-coding RNA, 157 nt
Organism: Ipomoea nil (Japanese morning glory)
Lineage: Eukaryota; Viridiplantae; Streptophyta; Magnoliopsida; Solanales; Convolvulaceae
Exons: 3
Source: RefSeq, a predicted model, not a curated record